Micropterus dolomieu (smallmouth bass) is the source of this 1311-nucleotide long non-coding RNA. RefSeq lists it as uncharacterized. The transcript is spliced from 3 exons. The record is from RefSeq and is a predicted model, not a curated record. NCBI's taxonomy places the organism in Eukaryota, Metazoa, Chordata, Actinopteri, Centrarchiformes, Centrarchidae.
CUGUCAUGUGCGAUAACGUGCUUGAAAAUACUCACAUCAUCUUUGUUGCAACAGUUUGACUUUGUUAAGAAAAGGCAAGUAGAGUGAACUUCUGAUGGGUAACAGAAUCCAGAGUACCCUGGGAUCAAAAUAGAGCUCUUGAUAGAGUGAUAACAUCGCUGGCAAGAAGACGAAGAACCUAAUCUGUCCUGGUGAUCAGCAAUGGCCACCAAUUCAUCAGUAUUAAGUUAAUUGGAUAAGUAUUGAUUCUCUUGAGGGAGCGGGCUGCAUUUAAAUUGUGCCACAACUCUGCAGGGCGGCACUUUCUGGUUCUUACUUAACAUUCCCAUGCAUGUGUUUGUCUCUUUUUAUGAGAGUGUGUGUUCAGCUAUAUGAGUUUAAUGUGUUUAUUAGUGUGCACGUAAAGGUUGAUCUUUACACCCCUAGUAACAGAUUUGUUUUUGUUUUUUUUACUAUCAACCUACAGUGUGAAGUGCCCAUUCAUAAACAUUCAUGCAUAAACAUUCCUCUGUCUGCACAUGUUGGCCAGUGACUGUGGUGCGUGCCACUGUGUCUAGUCAGUGAUAUGUUUGCACUUUUCCCUGUUUAAUCUGGAGUGGUGUGUGAGUCAGCUGCUAUCAUUGUUAAUCGGAAUGUCCCCUCUAAACAUCUGAGCAUGCUAUAGUACAUAUAGAGUGGUCAUUUUUUAGCCUAACUGCCCCUGUGUUUCUGUGUGGUGUGGGAAUUUAGCAAUGCUUUCGCUGCCACAGGUAUAUGCACGGAAUCGGUCUCUAUGACAGAGGGAAGAAGAAGAAGAAGAAGAAGAAGAAGGAGUGAGGACACAGACAGAUUCACCUUAUUGAAUCCCUCCAUCACUACAUAGUAGCCUACAGUGGAGCAUAUGCCCAUGGGUGUUUAGUAUGAGAUUGAUCACACACACCGUCCUGUUAUUUCUCACUCAUUCGACAACUGAAAUGGAUUAGCUGGCCAGUAGUCUGCCUCACUCUGAGAACAAUGACUCUGCCGUUAUGUCGUCUACCUUAUCAGUCUGCCCCUCUACUGCUGCCCAUUUCUCUUUCAUUCGCUAUAACACAAUACACAGAAGUUAAACCAGAUAUUUGUCAUUACCAAACAAACUGUCUCUAACACUUCUUGUGUCUUUCCAUUUUAAACGCCUACAUCAUCUGAGGACGCAACAAAGAUAAAAUAAGUGGUCCUCCAGCUGUUACCACUCUUUACGCUAAGCUAAGCCAACCAGCUGCUGGCUCUUGCUUCAAAUUCAGCCUACAGACAUGACAGUGGUAUCGAUCUCCUCAACUUACUCUUGGCAAC